Molecule: ribosomal RNA, 253 nt
Filed under: uncultured bacterium
Lineage: Bacteria
Description: partial 16S ribosomal RNA
Rfam family: Archaeal small subunit ribosomal RNA
Source: RNAcentral
UACCAGCACCCCGAGUGGUCGGGACGAUUAUUGGGCCUAAAGCAUCCGUAGCCGGUCAUGCAAGUCCUCCGUUAAAUCCACCUGCUUAACAGAUGGGCGCGGAGGAUACUACAAGGCUAGGAGGCGGAAGAGGCAAGCGGUACUCAGUGGGUAGGGGUAAAAUCCUCUGAUCCAUUGAAGACCACCAGUGGCGAAGGCGGCUUGCCAAUACGCGCUCGACGGUGAGGGAUGAAAGCUGGGGGGAGCAAACCGG